Molecule: ribosomal RNA, 324 nt
Filed under: uncultured eukaryote
Lineage: Eukaryota
Description: partial 18S ribosomal RNA
Rfam family: Eukaryotic small subunit ribosomal RNA
Source: RNAcentral
CCCUUAGAUGUUCUGGGCCGCACGCGCGCUACACUGAUGCAGUCAACGAGUUUCGCCCUGCUUCGAUAGAGGUGGGUAAUCUUCUCAAACUGCAUCGUGCUGGGGAUAGAUUAUUGCAAUUUUUAAUCUUCAACGAGGAAUUCCUAGUAAGCGCAAGUCAUCAGCUUGCGCUGAUUACGUCCCUGCCCUUUGUACACACCGCCCGUCGCACCUACCGAUUGAAUGUUUCGGUGAAGAUUCCGGAUAGGACUUUUUUGAUUUAUUUCAAUUUUGUCUUAAAAGCUAUCUAAACCUCAACAUUUAGAGGAAGGUGAAGUCGUAACA